GUUGUUAUGAAAGGGGUUAAGUUUUGCUUCAAUUUGGCACUAGAUCAGAGUGGUUUUUAUUUCUCAAGGAUCCUGUCCUAGUGGUUUGAGGGCAGGGCUAGAGUGAAUGCCAGCUGGGGGCUAGAAAAGGAUGGAAAAGAAGAGGAAGAGGAUUUUGUUGGGGGGCUGCACCCAAGCCUGGUCCCCACUGGACAGCUUACUCUCAGAGUACUCCUAUCACCCCCAGAAUUUAAGCCCUGUAUCUUUCUAUAACUCAAAUGCUUUCUUUGGUUUUUUAAUGCCAUAGUAAAAAUAGAAAGAAAUUUGACCACCAGCCUGCAUUCCAGUAUCAAUUAUGGUUGACUGCAGAAUGAAGAAAAACUCCUCAUAGAGACCAGUGAUACUCUCAGACAAAACUGUAAAAAACUCUUUGUGAAUUUUUUGGAGUCAAACUCCAUUCUGAAUCUUUUGUUAAAAAAAAAAACCAACCAAACAAAAACUUCUCUUAUGAAUUUACCACCUGUCAUGGAUGAUUGUUUUUUUUCUAACAGUAUUGGUCGAUUACAAAAUGCUUCUUAAGAGGAUAGUUAUAAAUAGAUUAUACUGUCAUUGUCCAUUCUGGUUUUGUCCUUUCUGGGUCAAGCGGAAGCUCACUAAUCUCUUUUGUGUAUUGGUUAAUUGUGGUGGAGAAAGAGACUCGAGGACAAAUCCGAGUCAACAAUUGACUGUACCACAAAAUGGGCUGAUCCGGUCCAUUCCAUCUGUUCUUUCUGGUGGAGGGAUUCAUAAGCAGGAGAAUGACCAAGAGCCUAGAGGAAGAAGAAAUAAACUCCACAUCACAUAAUGAGUACCCAAGGAACCAAGAAUCGACAUCAAUGAAGUAACCACCAUGGUGAACUGUCACAGUCAAUUAGGGCUCUGAGCCAAUAGUAAUAAAGUAUUUAAGUGAAUGUAUUAGACCUAAAGA
Molecule: long non-coding RNA, 946 nt
Filed under: Phascolarctos cinereus (koala)
Lineage: Eukaryota; Metazoa; Chordata; Mammalia; Diprotodontia; Phascolarctidae
Description: lncRNA (ENSPCIG00000032308.1)
Source: RNAcentral